ACCUCCGAUUCUCCCACUUCUUCUAGGCUUAGUUCAGUCGUUCAAACUGCCAUUUAUCCGUCUAUUCAGUUCAUUGGUCAUUGGGCUUGAGAGGGAAGGAGAACGGUAGUCCUGCGCCAUGGGCGAUUCUAGGGUUUUCUCCGGUUUCAACUCCGCAGCGACACGUUCCGGCGCGGGUACCGUCACUAGGAUCCGAUUAGAGAACUUCAUGUGCCAUAGCAACCUCCAAAUCGAGCUCUGCCCUUGGCUUAAUUUUAUUACCGGUCAAAAUGGGAGCGGCAAAAGUGCAAUACUGACUGCUUUGUGUAUUGCAUUCGGAAGCCGAGCGAAAGGGACUCAGAGGGCAUCUACGUUGAAGGAUUUUAUCAAAACUGGUUGCAGUUAUGCUGUUGUUGAAGUGGAAGUGAAAAAUCAAGGAGAGGAUGCUUUUAAGCCUGAAGUCUAUGGUGAUGCCAUUAUUAUAGAGCGCAGAAUUAAUCAAUCUACUAGCUCCACAGUUCUAAAGGAUUUCCAAGGUAAAAAGGUUGCUAGUCGAAAAGAGGAACUUCGGGAGCUCACUGAACAUUUUAAUAUUGAUGUGGAGAAUCCUUGUGUGAUAAUGAGUCAAGACAAAAGCAGAGAGUUUUUGCAUUCUGGUAAUGACAAAGAUAAAUUCAAGUUCUUUUUCAAGGCAACUCUUCUUCAGCAAGUUAAUGAUCUGUUACAAAGUAUAUAUGAACAACUAAGGUCUGCAAAUGCACUUGUGGAUGAAUUGGAGGCUACAAUAAAGCCUAUAGAGAAGGAACUCAAUGAGUUGCAAGUGAAAAUAAAAAACAUGGAACAUAUAGAAGAAAUAUCUCAGCAGGUACAGCAAUUAAAAAAGAAGCUUGCUUGGUCAUGGGUUUAUUAUGUUGAUAAGCAACUUGAAGAUCAAAGUAUGAAGAUUAGCAAGCUUAAAGAUCGAAUACCUGCUUGCCAAGACAAAAUUGAGCAGAAAUUGGUAAAGGUGGAGUCAUUGAGGGACCUCUUCACAAAAAAGAAGGCACAAAUAGCACACAUGAUGCAGAAGACAUCAGAAGUGAGGAGAAAGCAGGAUGAUUUGCGACAUUCUCUCUCUUUGGCAACAAAACAUAAGCUCGAGUUAGAAGAGCAGCAUGGCCGUGAAACUAAGCGCAUUCAGAACAUGCUGAAGCGUUCAAGCUCACUUCAGCAAGAAGUCCAGGCUAUUCAGGAGCAACAUGUUAAAAAUACACAGGCUGAAGAAUCUGAAAUAGAGGAGAAGUUAAAGGAACUCCAAUGCAUGGUUGAUGAUGCUCAUUCCACACUUUUAAGGUUAAAGGAAGAAGAAAGGGUCUUAUCAGAAAGUGUGUCUGAGGGAAUGAAUGAAAUGAGAAAGAUAAAUGAAGAGAUCCUAAAUUAUGAAAAAGAGGAACGAGAGAUCCGUGGAACCAUUCAGCAGUUCCGACAGCACAAAACUAACAAGGUUACAGCAUUUGGAGGAGAUAAGGUGAUUCAUCUUCUGCAUAUUAUUGAAAGAUGUCACCAAAAGUUCACUAAGUCGCCUAUUGGUCCAAUUGGUGCCCACCUGACACUGGUCAAUGGUGAUACAUGGGCUCCUGCCGUUGAAAAUGCCAUUGGGAGGUUGCUCAAUGCUUUUAUUGUAACAAACCAUAGGGAUAUGAAUCUUUUGAGAGAUUGUGCAAGAGAAGCAAAAUAUAGUAACCUUCAAAUUAUCAUAUAUGACUUCUCAAGACCAAGGUUGAAUAUACCACCUAGCAUGCUUCCUCAAACAAAUAACCCAACCGCAUUUUCUGUUGUGCAUUCUGAAAAUGAUACCGUGCUAAAUGUUUUGGUGGAUAUGGGGAGUGCAGAGAGGCUAGUGCUUGUAGAAAAUUACAAUGUGGGAAAAGCUGUUGCUUUUGACCAGAAGAUCCCACAUCUAAAGGAAGUUUACACCUUAGAUGGAUAUAAAAUGUUUGCCCGUGGGUCAGUCCAGACUGUACUUCCUCCUAAUAAAAAUUUUAGAACAGGCCGUCUUUGUAGCUCUUAUGAUCAUCAAAUUAAGAAUCUUGAACAACGAAUGUCAGAUUUUAAAAUGAGUGCUGAAGAAUGCAGGAAAAGGAAAAGGGCUAUGGAGGCAAAUCUUCAGGAUGCUCAAGGUGAUCUGAAGAAACUAAAGGAGAGAUGCUUGGUUGCUGAGCGGGUUGUAGCCACUAAGACACUAGAACUAAAAGAUUUGAAGAAGUCUUAUUCUACUGAAACUAGUCCACCAGCUGCUUCAACUGUUGAUGAGCUUCAUCAAGAAAUUUCAAAACUCCAAGAGGAGAUACAAGAAAGAAAAUCAUUUCUGGAAAAGCUUCGAGUCAAAAGGGAUGAAGCUGAGGCAAAGGCUCUAGACCUCAAAUUAUCAUUUGAGAAUUUAUGUGAGUCAGCAAAAGGAGAUCUCGAUGCCUUUGAAGAAGCAGAGGGUGAGCUAAUGAAGAUUGAAAAAGAUCUACAAGAUGCAGAAGCGGAGAAGGCUCAUUAUGAAAAUAUAAUGACUAACAAGGUCCUUCCUGAUAUCAAAGUGGCAGAAGCACAUUAUCAAGAACUUGAGGAGCAGCGUAAGGAGAGUUCCAAAAAGGCUUCUAUUAUCUGUCCCGAGACUGAUAUUGAAGCUUUAGGAGGUUGGGAUGGAAGCACCCCAGAACAACUCAGUGCCAAAUUAAAUAGAUUGAGUCAGAGGCUUCAGCAUGAGAGCCAGUGGUGUUCUGACUCUAUUGAUGACCUGAGAAUGUUAUAUGAGAAAAAACAGCGUAAAAUCUUAAGAAAACAACAAUUGUACCAAGGGUUUCGAGAAAAGUUGAAGGCUUGUCAGGAAGCCCUAGAUUUGCGACAGAACAAGUUUCAAAGGAACAGUGCUCUUCUGAAGCGGCAGCUAACUUGGAAUUUUAAUGGUCACUUAGGUAAGAAAGGGAUUAGCGGGAGUAUCGUAGUUAAUUAUGAAGAAAAAACCCUUAGAGUAGAGGUAAAGAUGCCCCAAGAUGCAUCAAGCAGCACUGUCCGUGACACUAGAGGGCUUUCAGGUGGUGAACGCUCUUUUUCAACGCUGUGCUUUGCAUUAGCUCUUCAUGAGAUGACAGAAGCCCCAUUCCGAGCAAUGGAUGAGUUUGAUGUAUUUAUGGAUGCAGUUAGCCGGAAGAUAAGCUUAGACACUUUAGUGGACUUUGCAUUGGCACAAGGAUCCCAAUGGAUAUUUAUCACACCUCAUGACAUCAGUAUGGUAAAACAUGGGGAGAGGAUAAAGAAGCAGCAACUAGCAGCUCCUCGUUCUUGAUUAUAGCAGUGCAAGAUCUUCUUAAGAAUUGUUCAAUUUAAAAUGCUGUUCUUAUUUUUGCUCCGAUGGAGAAGGCAACUGGGAUUUACUGAGCAGGCGUAUUAAGUGCCAUUUGUUCCCCAGUCCAUAACUCUGGUUCGGUUGUAUGGUAGAUGGAAACAGAACCUAGGCAGCAAUUAUAGGAUUCCCAGCUCAUCAUAGUUGUUUCUUCAUUUGGUGCCUGCUUGUGGAUCUCAUUAUCUCCCAUAAGUUAUGGGUCAAACUGUUAUCAAAGAGAUUUGCCUGCUGGAGACACCAUCUGAUUAGUUUUAUUUAUUUAUUUAUUUAUUUUUUUCAUGUUGAUGUUGGAGGGUAGUUGAGCAGACGUCAUUUAUAUCCUUGUGCACCUGUAUGGAUUCAUUUAAAAAUUAAUUUUAUCCUAAAGACGUGAG
Manihot esculenta (cassava) is the source of this 3726-nucleotide RNA transcript. It is a transcript of the gene named structural maintenance of chromosomes protein 6B, with no coding region annotated. Lineage: Eukaryota; Viridiplantae; Streptophyta; Magnoliopsida; Malpighiales; Euphorbiaceae. The transcript has 29 exons. The record is from RefSeq and is a predicted model, not a curated record.